This 495-nucleotide ribosomal RNA is filed under the name uncultured bacterium. RNAcentral's name for it is "partial 16S ribosomal RNA". It matches the Rfam family "Bacterial small subunit ribosomal RNA", at positions 28 to 507 of the family's 1533-position model. The record is from RNAcentral.
GACGAACGCUGGCGGCGUGCCUAAUACAUGCAAGUAGAACGCUGAAGGAGGAGCUUGCUUCUCUGGAUGAGUUGCGAACGGGUGAGUAACGCGUAGGUAACCUGCCUGGUAGCGGGGGAUAACUAUUGGAAACGAUAGCUAAUACCGCAUAAGAGUAGAUGUUGCAUGACAUUUGCUUAAAAGGUGCAAUUGCAUCACUACCAGAUGGACCUGCGUUGUAUUAGCUAGUUGGUGAUGUAACGGCUCACCAAGGCAACGAUACAUAGCCGACCUGAGAGGGUGAUCGGCCACACUGGGACUGAGACACGGCCCAGACUCCUACGGGAGGCAGCAGUAGGGAAUCUUCGGCAAUGGACGGAAGUCUGACCGAGCAACGCCGCGUGAGUGAAGAAGGUUUUCGGAUCGUAAAGCUCUGUUGUAAGAGAAGAACGAGUGUGAGAGUGGAAAGUUCACACUGUGACGGUAUCUUACCAGAAAGGGACGGCUAACUACGUG